AAGAAAGUAUGGAACUAUGGUGAGCACUGCUAACGCUCACCCCCGCGGUUAAACUCCGCGGCUUUCUUG
Molecule: transfer RNA, 69 nt
Filed under: Saurogobio lissilabris
Lineage: Eukaryota; Metazoa; Chordata; Actinopteri; Cypriniformes; Gobionidae
Description: tRNA-Ser
Source: RNAcentral